Molecule: long non-coding RNA, 649 nt
Organism: Etheostoma spectabile (orangethroat darter)
Lineage: Eukaryota; Metazoa; Chordata; Actinopteri; Perciformes; Percidae
Exons: 3
Source: RefSeq, a predicted model, not a curated record
GUCACUGUGUCCACGUUCGGACAAUUAUUGGCUAACGUUCUAUCAAAAUAUCUGUUCAAAUAUGAAUAUAAAUGAUCUAUUAAUAUUUUCAGAUAAUUUAAUGGUGUAAAACUAAACCUUUCUAACGGUAUAUAGUUUUAACUGUUUACUUUAGCUUUUACUUUACAUGAGCCGGCUAAAGUACGCUAUCACCGGUAAAUUAGCCAUGCGCUACCCUUGGCCAUAACCGGACAGCGCUAUCUCCUCGCUGUAAACACUGAGUGUUGCUGGUUUUUUUGGGGUGUUAAAGAAAGUCCCAUCAAUGCUGUCAAAACUACCGGAUCUUACUUCUGUCCUUCACAAUAAAAUACCAUGCUUCAACAACUGAAUUAUGCAAUUAAAGCUCCUUAAUUUCCAUUACAGUAAAAAGAGAAACUUUUUAGAGGGAAAGAUCGUCGCCCAAGCGCUCUUACUUCUAUUCCUCAUCAUCGUCACUUUCAUGUACUUAUUAGAUAUCUAAAUGUCCAUGUACAUAUAGGAAUAUUCAUACCUUGAUUGUUAGAUGGGUAUAGAUCAAUUCUGCUGAAAUUUUUGGUGAUGAUCGGAAACGUAAAGUACCACGAAAAGACCGGAUAGCGUAUCAGGUCGGAGGUGUCCGAAUACGGCCAAU